GAUGAACGCUAGCUACAGGCUUAACACAUGCAAGUCGAGGGGCAGCAUGAACUUAGCUUGCUAAGUUUGAUGGCGACCGGCGCACGGGUGAGUAACACGUAUCCGAACCUGCCGAUGACUCGGGGAUAGCCUUUCGAAAGAAAGAUUAAUACCCGAUGGCAUAGUUCUUCCGCAUGGUAGAACUAUUAAAGGAUUUCGGUCAUCGAUGGGGAUGCGUUCCAUUAGGUUGUUGGCGGGGGUAACGGCCCACCUAGCCUACGAUGGAUAGGGGUUCUGAGAGAAGGUCCCCCCACAUUGGAACUGAGACACGGGUCCAAAACUCCUACGGGAGGCAGCAGUGAGGAAAUACUUUGGG
This 355-nucleotide ribosomal RNA is filed under the name uncultured bacterium. RNAcentral's name for it is "bacterial SSU rRNA". It matches the Rfam family "Bacterial small subunit ribosomal RNA", at positions 28 to 375 of the family's 1533-position model. The record is from RNAcentral.